UACGGGAGGCAGCAGUGGGGAAUAUUGCGCAAUGGGCGCAAGCCUGACCCAGCAACGCCGCGUGAGGGAAGAAGGCUUUCGGGUUGUAAACCUCUGUCCUUGGUGACGAAGAAGUGACGGUAGCCAAGGAGGAAGCCCCGGCUAACUACGUGCCAGCAGCCGCGGUAAU
RNAcentral lists this ribosomal RNA (169 nucleotides) under uncultured rumen bacterium. RNAcentral's name for it is "partial 16S ribosomal RNA". It matches the Rfam family "Bacterial small subunit ribosomal RNA", at positions 340 to 524 of the family's 1533-position model. The record is from RNAcentral.